UACAGAGGGGGCAAGCGUUAUUCGGAAUCAUUGGGCGUAAAGCGCGUGUAGGCGGCUGAGUAAGUCUGCUCUGAAAGCCCGGGGCUCAACCCCGGGAGGCGGGUGGAUACUGCUCAGCUCGAGUCCGGAAGAGGAGUGUGGAAUUCCUGGUGUAGCGGUGAAAUGCGCAGAUAUCAGGAGGAACACCAAUGGCGAAGGCAGCACUCUGGGACGGUACUGACGCUGAGACGCGAAAGCGUGGGGAGCAAACAGG
RNAcentral lists this ribosomal RNA (253 nucleotides) under uncultured bacterium. RNAcentral describes it as "partial 16S ribosomal RNA". It matches the Rfam family "Bacterial small subunit ribosomal RNA", at positions 524 to 776 of the family's 1533-position model. The record is from RNAcentral.